RNAcentral lists this ribosomal RNA (551 nucleotides) under uncultured bacterium. Its description in RNAcentral is "bacterial SSU rRNA". It matches the Rfam family "Bacterial small subunit ribosomal RNA", at positions 359 to 917 of the family's 1533-position model. The record is from RNAcentral.
GGANUUGCGAAUGGGCGAAGCCUGACGCAGCGACGCCGCGUGGGGGAUGAAGCAUCUCGGUGUGUAAACCCCUUUCGACUGGGACGAAUGCCUCGCAAGAGGAGUGACGGUACCAGUAGAAGAAGCCCCGGCUAACUACGUGCCAGCAGCCGCGGUAAGACGUAGGGGGCCAGCGUUGUUCGGAAUUACUGGGUGUAAAGGGUUCGUAGGCGGUGUGGCAAGUCGGGAGUGAAAUCUAUGGGCUUAACUCAUAGGCUGCUUCCGAAACUGCUGUGCUGGAGUGUGGGAGAGGCGCGUGGAAUUGCAGGUGUAGCGGUGAAAUGCGUAGAUAUCUGCAGGAACACCCGUGGCGAAAGCGGCGCGCUGGACCACAACUGACGCUGAGGAACGAAAGCUAGGGGAGCAAACAGGAUUAGAUACCCUGGUAGUCCUAGCCCUAAACGAUCAGGACUUGGGGUGCCGCACGUUCGUGCGUCGUCCCGGAGCUAACGCGUUAAGUCCUGCACCUGGGGAGUACGGUCGCAAGACUGAAACUCAAAAAAAUUGACGGA